Molecule: ribosomal RNA, 253 nt
Filed under: uncultured bacterium
Lineage: Bacteria
Description: partial 16S ribosomal RNA
Rfam family: Bacterial small subunit ribosomal RNA
Source: RNAcentral
UACGUAGGUGGCAAGCGUUGUCCGGAAUCACUGGGCGUAAAGCGCGCGCAGGCGGCGAUCUACGUCUGGGGUGAAAGCCCGGAGCUCAACUCCGGGACUGCCUUGGAUACGGGAUCGCUUGAGGAUUGGAGAGGCAAGGGGAAUUCCACGUGUAGCGGUGAAAUGCGUAGAGAUGUGGAGGAACACCUGUGGCGAAGGUGCCUUGCUGGCCAAUUACUGACGCUGAGGCGCGAAAGCGUGGGGAGCAAACAGG